RNAcentral lists this ribosomal RNA (1372 nucleotides) under uncultured bacterium. RNAcentral's name for it is "bacterial SSU rRNA". It matches the Rfam family "Bacterial small subunit ribosomal RNA", at positions 28 to 1381 of the family's 1533-position model. The record is from RNAcentral.
GAUGAACGCUGGCGGCGUGCCUAAUGCAUGCAAGUCGAGCGAACGGACGAGAAGCUUGCUUCUCUGAUGUUAGCGGCGGACGGGUGAGUAACACGUGGAUAACCUACCUAUAAGACUGGGAUAACUUCGGGAAACCGGAGCUAAUACCGGAUAAUAUUUUGAACCGCAUGGUUCAAAAGUGAAAGACGGUCUUGCUGUCACUUAUAGAUGGAUCCGCGCUGCAUUAGCUAGUUGGUAAGGUAACGGCUUACCAAGGCAACGAUGCAUAGCCGACCUGAGAGGGUGAUCGGCCACACUGGAACUGAGACACGGUCCAGACUCCUACGGGAGGCAGCAGUAGGGAAUCUUCCGCAAUGGGCGAAAGCCUGACGGAGCAACGCCGCGUGAGUGAUGAAGGUCUUCGGAUCGUAAAACUCUGUUAUUAGGGAAGAACAUAUGUGUAAGUAACUGUGCACAUCUUGACGGUACCUAAUCAGAAAGCCACGGCUAACUACGUGCCAGCAGCCGCGGUAAUACGUAGGUGGCAAGCGUUAUCCGGAAUUAUUGGGCGUAAAGCGCGCGUAGGCGGUUUUUUAAGUCUGAUGUGAAAGCCCACGGCUCAACCGUGGAGGGUCAUUGGAAACUGGAAAACUUGAGUGCAGAAGAGGAAAGUGGAAUUCCAUGUGUAGCGGUGAAAUGCGCAGAGAUAUGGAGGAACACCAGUGGCGAAGGCGACUUUCUGGUCUGUAACUGACGCUGAUGUGCGAAAGCGUGGGGAUCAAACAGGAUUAGAUACCCUGGUAGUCCACGCCGUAAACGAUGAGUGCUAAGUGUUAGGGGGUUUCCGCCCCUUAGUGCUGCAGCUAACGCAUUAAGCACUCCGCCUGGGGAGUACGACCGCAAGGUUGAAACUCAAAGGAAUUGACGGGGACCCGCACAAGCGGUGGAGCAUGUGGUUUAAUUCGAAGCAACGCGAAGAACCUUACCAAAUCUUGACAUCCUUUGACAACUCUAGAGAUAGAGCCUUCCCCUUCGGGGGACAAAGUGACAGGUGGUGCAUGGUUGUCGUCAGCUCGUGUCGUGAGAUGUUGGGUUAAGUCCCGCAACGAGCGCAACCCUUAAGCUUAGUUGCCAUCAUUAAGUUGGGCACUCUAAGUUGACUGCCGGUGACAAACCGGAGGAAGGUGGGGAUGACGUCAAAUCAUCAUGCCCCUUAUGAUUUGGGCUACACACGUGCUACAAUGGACAAUACAAAGGGCAGCGAAACCGCGAGGUCAAGCAAAUCCCAUAAAGUUGUUCUCAGUUCGGAUUGUAGUCUGCAACUCGACUACAUGAAGCUGGAAUCGCUAGUAAUCGUAGAUCAGCAUGCUACGGUGAAUACGUUCCCGGGUCU